UACAGAGGUCUCAAGCGUUGUUCGGAUUCAUUGGGCGUAAAGGGUGUGUAGGUGGCGCCGUAAGUCGGGUGUGAAAUUUCGGAGCUUAACUCCGAAACUGCAUUCGAUACUGCGGUGCUUGAGGACUGGAGAGGAGACUGGAAUUCCCGGUGUAGCGGUGAAAUGCGUAGAUAUCGGGAGGAAUACCUAUGGCGAAAGCAGGCUACUGGACCGUCACUGACUCUGAUCUGCGAAAGCUAGGGGAGCAAACAGG
RNAcentral lists this ribosomal RNA (253 nucleotides) under uncultured bacterium. RNAcentral's name for it is "partial 16S ribosomal RNA". It matches the Rfam family "Bacterial small subunit ribosomal RNA", at positions 524 to 776 of the family's 1533-position model. The record is from RNAcentral.